AGUGCUGCUUUAAGAAUCUUGCUGAUCUCCCCUAAGGCUAAUCUGUGCAUAUUUCAGAUAUAAAUGCACCAAUUCAAAACAUAAGGGUGGAUCCAAGGAGAGGAGAGCUGAGCUGGGACUUACAUGGCAACGUUGGCGAAGUGUUUUGCAACAAAUCUCGCUAUCGCUUCAAGGCAAAGAACAACAACACUGCCUGCCAGUUUCAUGCCUUCUCCUCCUGCACGGUGACAAACUAUACCAUAAGAAUCACCAAAGGCCCCUCAUUCUCAACCAUCAUUCGGUAUCCUACGGAAGGUGAGGACGGAAAACGAUUUGUCUGUCUUUAAUCAGCUCUCAGUCUUCUUAGCGUCCAAACCGUGAUGUUGGAGUUAGCCAAACCUCCAGGGAAUUAUGCCGAGCAAAAUAUACAUGUAUCUAUAUGAUUUCAUUUGUAUGACGUUCUUGAAAUGGAGAA
RNAcentral lists this long non-coding RNA (454 nucleotides) under Dasypus novemcinctus (nine-banded armadillo). RNAcentral's name for it is "lncRNA (ENSDNOG00000050563.1)". Lineage: Eukaryota; Metazoa; Chordata; Mammalia; Cingulata; Dasypodidae. The record is from RNAcentral.